This 204-nucleotide long non-coding RNA is filed under the name Mytilus galloprovincialis (Mediterranean mussel). The record is from RNAcentral. Lineage: Eukaryota; Metazoa; Mollusca; Bivalvia; Mytilida; Mytilidae.
AAAAACAGUGAACACUUUAAGUAUUAAGUAACAGAUAACAGGAAUCCCAAUUUCAAAUAAACAGUUAACAACAUUGCAAAUUUUAACAGAACAGAUUACAGACAGUGGGUCGAAAACAGUUAACAGUUUAAAUUUAUCUCAAAUAACAGUUUUAACCAAAACCUUGAAAAGGACAAAACAGUUUAACAUAAAAAGGUACAUCCC